Molecule: ribosomal RNA, 449 nt
Filed under: uncultured bacterium
Lineage: Bacteria
Description: SSU rRNA
Rfam family: Bacterial small subunit ribosomal RNA
Source: RNAcentral
AGAACGAACGCUGGCGGCAGGCUUAACACAUGCAAGUCGAACGCGUGUAGCAAUACACGAGUGGCGCACGGGUGAGUAACGCGUGGAUAUCUGCCUUUUGGUUCGGAAUAACCCCGGGAAACUGGGGCUAAUACCGGAUGGUUCCUACGGGAUAAAGAUUUAUCGCCAAAAGAUGAGUCCGCGUACGAUUAGCUAGUUGGUGAGGUAAUGGCUCACCAAGGCGACGAUCGUUAGCUGGUCUGAGAGGACGAUCAGCCACACUGGGACUGAGACACGGCCCAGACUCCUACGGGAGGCAGCAGUGGGGAAUAUUGGACAAUGGGGGCAACCCUGAUCCAGCCAUGCCGCGUGAGUGAUGAAGGCCUUCGGGUUGUAAAGCUCUUUUGGCGGGGACGAUGAUGACGGUACCCGCAGAAUAAGCCCCGGCUAACUUCGCGCCAGCCAGCCGC